Molecule: ribosomal RNA, 503 nt
Filed under: uncultured bacterium
Lineage: Bacteria
Description: partial 16S ribosomal RNA
Rfam family: Bacterial small subunit ribosomal RNA
Source: RNAcentral
AUUGAACGCUGGCGGCAGGCUUAACACAUGCAAGUCGAGCGGAGUGAUGGUGCUUGCACUAUCACUUAGCGGCGGACGGGUGAGUAAUGCUUAGGAAUCUGCCUAUUAGUGGGGGACAACAUCUCGAAAGGGAUGCUAAUACCGCAUACGUCCUACGGGAGAAAGCAGGGGAUCACUUGUGACCUUGCGCUAAUAGAUGAGCCUAAGUCGGAUUAGCUAGUUGGUGGGGUAAAGGCCUACCAAGGCGACGAUCUGUAGCGGGUCUGAGAGGAUGAUCCGCCCCACGGGGACUGAGCCACGGCCCAGACUCCUACGGGAGGCAGCAGUGGGGAAUAUUGGACAAUGGGGGGAACCCUGAUCCAGCCAUGCCGCGUGUGUGAAGAAGGCCUUAUGGUUGUAAAGCACUUUAAGCGAGGAGGAGGCUCUUUUGGUUAAUACCCAAGAUGAGUGGACGUUACUCGCAGAAUAAGCACCGGCUAACUCUGUGCCAGCCGCCGCCGUAA